Molecule: transfer RNA, 73 nt
Filed under: Danio rerio (zebrafish)
Lineage: Eukaryota; Metazoa; Chordata; Actinopteri; Cypriniformes; Danionidae
Rfam family: tRNA
About the family: Transfer RNA (tRNA) molecules are approximately 80 nucleotides in length. Their secondary structure includes four short double-helical elements and three loops (D, anti-codon, and T loops).
Source: Rfam by way of RNAcentral
GUUUCUGUAGUGUAGUGGUCAUCACGUUCGCCUAACACGCGAAAGGUCCCCGGUUCGGAACCGAGCAGAAACA